RNAcentral lists this long non-coding RNA (982 nucleotides) under Ictidomys tridecemlineatus (thirteen-lined ground squirrel). Its description in RNAcentral is "lncRNA (ENSSTOG00000029749.1)". The record is from RNAcentral. Lineage: Eukaryota; Metazoa; Chordata; Mammalia; Rodentia; Sciuridae.
UGAAGUCCUGUUAAGAGGACUCAUGAUGACAUAAUCUCAUUUUUUUUUUUUAAGGCAAUCACUCUCCUAGCCCUGGGCACCAAGAAGAAAGACUUGGGAUGGGGAGCCCAUUCGGCUUAGUAACCUACAGAAGCAGAGAUGGCGACACAAACAGGAAAGGGGCUGAAGAGAGGCAGACAAGAGGGCAGAUUCCAGCAAGAUUUAAGAAGCUGAAAAUAUGGAGCUGACAUCAGACAGGAUGUGAAGGGAAGGGGAGAAUCCAGGAAGUGACAAGAGAUUUCCAGCUUGGGCAGCUCUGGGUGUGCUGUCCAUCACUGAGGUUGCACUGCCACAUACACAGCAGGGUGCUGGCAGAGCCACAUGGAGGAGGACACUUACCAUUGGUCUUCAGUAACCACCUCAGCACAUUUCACAUGGACAGAAAGAUGGUGCUCCUGUUGUGGAAUAGCUGCCUCAGCCCAUCUGUUGAACACAACACUUGGACCUGAGCCCUACCCUCAUGCCCCAGCCUGAAUGAUUCUUUUGAACCACCAAACAUGGAUGGUCCUGAUCUUUUGUUGGCGCAGACAGCAGUCAUACUUGAACUGUGACUGCUAAUAAAACUCCUGAUGGAACAGUAUUCAUCUUCUGGAACAUUCUGGAAUCAUUUCACUAGAUACCUUUGCAGGGCUAAAUCUCAGGCAGGAAUUUCACCAGUCUCAGUUCUGCCUCCUGGAGAAGGGAAGACAGCUCAGUAACAUUUCCUCUAUUUAAAUGAGAAACAACAUAGGGUGUAUAGAUUUGGGGCAGGUUGGGGACUUUCUGUGUAGUUUAAUUUUGUCAGUGGGUUGUUUUACAUGAUUAUACCCUGAAGCUUGCAAAUGGGAAAGGGGUUAUCUCAUCCUUUCACCAAGUGGAGCCAUCUCUAAAGAUCUUUGAUAUGUUAGGCAUGCCCUACACAUGAGGGAUUUUGAUGAACAGGACCAAGUCCCCACUCUCCUCC